AUUUCUCCUGUUUUCUAAGACAUGGAUUACAACAUAUUAAAGAAUAAUGAGCUUGGUACCACAAUGACUAAUUGAUUGAACAAUCAAAGAGAAUAAGUAAAGGAUCGAGUAUAACCUCAUAUUAUGUGUUGUGCACUGUAAUUGUAGGUCGAGACGAGGACAUUGUACCAUUACCACCGGGAACCGAUCACUGUAACCAACCAAGUGGUCAGUCCUAGUCAUGACACCUGUUUUCUUUUGUCAACCUUCGUGGGUUCAGGCACUGCACGAAGCCAUUUAUUUUUGUAAAGUCUAUUGAAAUGUUGGCUUAAUUUUGAUUACCCAUUUAAAGUUAAAGAGGUAGAACUUCAAUGAUUUUUAUAUAAGCCCAAUGAUGGGGCUGGGUCUGUACAUAUGGUUGUUUAUCACCGAUGCUACAACAUAUGGUUUGGAGCUUUAUCUAUUUUCCAUGAUGAAUGUGAUGUAUAAGAGGUCCUGGCAUGUAGAUGUA
Molecule: non-coding RNA, 490 nt
Organism: Camellia sinensis
Lineage: Eukaryota; Viridiplantae; Streptophyta; Magnoliopsida; Ericales; Theaceae
Source: RefSeq, a predicted model, not a curated record